GACGAACGCUGGCGGCGUGCUUAACACAUGCAAGUCGUACGGUAAGGCCCUUUCGGGGGUACACGAGUGGCGAACGGGUGAGUAACACGUGAGUAACCUGCCCACAACUUUGGGAUAACGCUAGGAAACUGGUGCUAAUACUGGAUAUGUGCUCCUGCUGCAUGGUGGGGGUUGGAAAGCUCCGGCGGUUGUGGAUGGACUCGCGGCCUAUCAGCUUGUUGGUGGGGUAGUGGCCUACCAAGGCAGCGACGGGUAGCCGGCCUGAGAGGGUGACCGGCCACAUUGGGACUGAGAUACGGCCCAGACUCCUACGGGAGGCAGCAGUGGGGAAUAUUGCACAAUGGGCGCAAGCCUGAUGCAGCAACGCCGCGUGCGGGAUGACGGCCUUCGGGUUGUAAACCGCUUUCAGCAGGGACGAAGCUUUUUGUGACGGUACCUGCAGAAGAAGCACCGGCUAACUACGUG
This 465-nucleotide ribosomal RNA is filed under the name uncultured bacterium. Its description in RNAcentral is "partial 16S ribosomal RNA". It matches the Rfam family "Bacterial small subunit ribosomal RNA", at positions 28 to 507 of the family's 1533-position model. The record is from RNAcentral.